Molecule: transfer RNA, 71 nt
Filed under: Pseudopimelodus mangurus
Lineage: Eukaryota; Metazoa; Chordata; Actinopteri; Siluriformes; Pseudopimelodidae
Description: tRNA-Thr
Rfam family: tRNA
About the family: Transfer RNA (tRNA) molecules are approximately 80 nucleotides in length. Their secondary structure includes four short double-helical elements and three loops (D, anti-codon, and T loops). Further hydrogen bonds mediate the characteristic L-shaped molecular structure. tRNAs have two regions of fundamental functional importance: the anti-codon, which is responsible for specific mRNA codon recognition, and the 3' end, to which the tRNAs corresponding amino acid is attached (by aminoacyl-tRNA synthetases). tRNAs cope with the degeneracy of the genetic code in two manners: having more than one tRNA (with a specific anti-codon) for a particular amino acid; and 'wobble' base-pairing, i.e. permitting non-standard base-pairing at the 3rd anti-codon position.
Source: RNAcentral
UGCUCUAGUAGCUUAGACAAAAAGCACCGGUCUUGUAAUCCGGAGAUCGAAGGUUAAAAUCCUUCCUAGUG